CCUACGGGUGGCUGCAGUGAGGAAUAUUGGUCAAUGGGCGUAAGCCUGAACCAGCCAAGUCGCGUGAGGGAAUACGGCCCUAUGGGUUGUAAACCUCUUUUGUCGGGGAGCAACGCCGGGUACGUGUCCCCGUCCUGAGAGUACCCGGAGAAAAAGCAUCGGCUAACUCCGUGCCAGCAGCCGCGGUAAUACGGAGGAUGCGAGCGUUAUCCGGAUUUAUUGGGUUUAAAGGGUGCGUAGGCGGACUUCCAAGUCAGCGGUAAAAUCGCGGGGCUCAACCUGGUUCCGCCGUUGAAACUGGGGGUCUUGAGUGGGCGAGAAGAAGGCGGAAUGCGUGGUGUAGCGGUGAAAUGCAUAGAGAUCACGCAGAACCCCGAUUGCGAAGGCAGCCUUCCGGCGCCCAACUGACGCUGAGGCACGAAAGCGCGGGGAGCGAACAGGAUUAGAUACCCGGGUAGUC
Molecule: ribosomal RNA, 460 nt
Filed under: uncultured bacterium
Lineage: Bacteria
Description: partial 16S ribosomal RNA
Rfam family: Bacterial small subunit ribosomal RNA
Source: RNAcentral